This 497-nucleotide ribosomal RNA is filed under the name uncultured bacterium. Its description in RNAcentral is "partial 16S ribosomal RNA". It matches the Rfam family "Bacterial small subunit ribosomal RNA", at positions 28 to 507 of the family's 1533-position model. The record is from RNAcentral.
GAUGAACGCUGGCGGCGUGCCUAAUACAUGCAAGUCGAGCGAACAGACGAGGAGCUUGCUCCUCUGACGUUAGCGGCGGACGGGUGAGUAACACGUGGAUAACCUACCUAUAAGACUGGGAUAACUUCGGGAAACCGGAGCUAAUACCGGAUAAUAUAUUGAACCGCAUGGUUCAAUAGUGAAAGACGGUUUUGCUGUCACUUAUAGAUGGAUCCGCGCCGCAUUAGCUAGUUGGUAAGGUAACGGCUUACCAAGGCAACGAUGCGUAGCCGACCUGAGAGGGUGAUCGGCCACACUGGAACUGAGACACGGUCCAGACUCCUACGGGAGGCAGCAGUAGGGAAUCUUCCGCAAUGGGCGAAAGCCUGACGGAGCAACGCCGCGUGAGUGAUGAAGGUCUUCGGAUCGUAAAACUCUGUUAUUAGGGAAGAACAAAUGUGUAAGUAACUAUGUACGUCUUGACGGUACCCAAUCAGAAAGCCACGGCUAACUACGUG